AAACAGAAGAUACAUAUGGGAGAUUCAUAGACAAAGAGUUGCCAAUUAUGUUACAAAGUGGAUUAUACCUGUAAGUGGAUCUCACUAAGCAUCUUUACACUAAAACAUGGUGUUGAGGUUCUGGAUGUAAAGUGGAAGAGUCCAUCAUCUCAGAGUAAGCUUAUGUUUAGGCUGUGAAAAAUGAAGGCUUGAAGAACAACAGCCUUAGAGAAAAGAAGACCAUGAAGUAAUCUUGUGUAUGUAUUAAAGAAUCAGCAAUAUAAUCAUUAUGACCUAAAUGAGUAGACUGAGUGGCAGAUCUAUUUCACUGA
RNAcentral lists this long non-coding RNA (311 nucleotides) under Homo sapiens (human). Its description in RNAcentral is "HSALNT0307964". Lineage: Eukaryota; Metazoa; Chordata; Mammalia; Primates; Hominidae. The record is from RNAcentral.